RNAcentral lists this ribosomal RNA (1246 nucleotides) under Bacillus velezensis. Its description in RNAcentral is "partial 16S ribosomal RNA". It matches the Rfam family "Bacterial small subunit ribosomal RNA", at positions 127 to 1359 of the family's 1533-position model. Lineage: Bacteria; Bacillati; Bacillota; Bacilli; Caryophanales; Bacillaceae. The record is from RNAcentral. RNAcentral also lists the same sequence under 1 other name.
UGCCUGUAAGACUGGGAUAACUCCGGGAAACCGGGGCUAAUACCGGAUGGUUGUCUGAACCGCAUGGUUCAGACAUAAAAGGUGGCUUCGGCUACCACUUACAGAUGGACCCGCGGCGCAUUAGCUAGUUGGUGAGGUAACGGCUCACCAAGGCGACGAUGCGUAGCCGACCUGAGAGGGUGAUCGGCCACACUGGGACUGAGACACGGCCCAGACUCCUACGGGAGGCAGCAGUAGGGAAUCUUCCGCAAUGGACGAAAGUCUGACGGAGCAACGCCGCGUGAGUGAUGAAGGUUUUCGGAUCGUAAAGCUCUGUUGUUAGGGAAGAACAAGUGCCGUUCAAAUAGGGCGGCACCUUGACGGUACCUAACCAGAAAGCCACGGCUAACUACGUGCCAGCAGCCGCGGUAAUACGUAGGUGGCAAGCGUUGUCCGGAAUUAUUGGGCGUAAAGGGCUCGCAGGCGGUUUCUUAAGUCUGAUGUGAAAGCCCCCGGCUCAACCGGGGAGGGUCAUUGGAAACUGGGGAACUUGAGUGCAGAAGAGGAGAGUGGAAUUCCACGUGUAGCGGUGAAAUGCGUAGAGAUGUGGAGGAACACCAGUGGCGAAGGCGACUCUCUGGUCUGUAACUGACGCUGAGGAGCGAAAGCGUGGGGAGCGAACAGGAUUAGAUACCCUGGUAGUCCACGCCGUAAACGAUGAGUGCUAAGUGUUAGGGGGUUUCCGCCCCUUAGUGCUGCAGCUAACGCAUUAAGCACUCCGCCUGGGGAGUACGGUCGCAAGACUGAAACUCAAAGGAAUUGACGGGGGCCCGCACAAGCGGUGGAGCAUGUGGUUUAAUUCGAAGCAACGCGAAGAACCUUACCAGGUCUUGACAUCCUCUGACAAUCCUAGAGAUAGGACGUCCCCUUCGGGGGCAGAGUGACAGGUGGUGCAUGGUUGUCGUCAGCUCGUGUCGUGAGAUGUUGGGUUAAGUCCCGCAACGAGCGCAACCCUUGAUCUUAGUUGCCAGCAUUCAGUUGGGCACUCUAAGGUGACUGCCGGUGACAAACCGGAGGAAGGUGGGGAUGACGUCAAAUCAUCAUGCCCCUUAUGACCUGGGCUACACACGUGCUACAAUGGACAGAACAAAGGGCAGCGAAACCGCGAGGUUAAGCCAAUCCCACAAAUCUGUUCUCAGUUCGGAUCGCAGUCUGCAACUCGACUGCGUGAAGCUGGAAUCGCUAGUAAUCGCGGAUCAGCAUGCCG